CAAUAGCGUAUAUUUAAGUUGUUGCAGUUAAAAAGCUCGUAGUUGGAUUUCGGAUGGGAUUUGCCGGUCCGUCGUUACGAUGUGCACUGGCCAGUCCUAUCUUGUUGUCGGGGACUAGCUCCUUGGAUUCACUUCCUGGGACUAGGAGCUGACGAGGUUACUUUGAGUAAAUUAGAGUGUUCAAAGCAAGCCUACGCUCUGAAUACAUUAGCAUGGAAUAACACGAUAGGACUCUGGCUUAUCUUGUUGGUCUGUGAGACCAGAGUAAUGAUUAAGAGGGACAGUCGGGGACAUUCGUAUUUCAUUGUCAGAGGUGAAAUUCUUGGAUUUGUGAAAGACGAACUUCUGCGAAAGCAUUUGUCAAGGAUGUUUUCAUUAA
Molecule: ribosomal RNA, 379 nt
Filed under: uncultured eukaryote
Lineage: Eukaryota
Description: partial 18S ribosomal RNA
Rfam family: Eukaryotic small subunit ribosomal RNA
Source: RNAcentral